AUCGCUUCUCGGCCUUUUGGCUAAGAUCAUAUGUAGUAUCUGUUCUUAUCAGUUUAAUAUCUGAUACGCCCCCUAUCUGGGGACCAUAUAUUAAAUUGAUUUUUGGAACAGGGAGAUGGAAUAGGGGCUUGCUCCGUAGAAAAAAAAAAAAGAAAUCUGGAGCCAUUAUGGAUGGCACUUCAAUUAGUUUGCUCAGUGCAU
Molecule: small nuclear RNA, 201 nt
Filed under: Erpetoichthys calabaricus (reedfish)
Lineage: Eukaryota; Metazoa; Chordata; Cladistia; Polypteriformes; Polypteridae
Description: U2 spliceosomal RNA (ENSECRG00000018888.1)
Rfam family: U2 spliceosomal RNA
About the family: U2 is a small nuclear RNA (snRNA) component of the spliceosome (involved in pre-mRNA splicing). Complementary binding between U2 snRNA (in an area lying towards the 5' end but 3' to hairpin I) and the branchpoint sequence (BPS) of the intron results the bulging out of an unpaired adenosine, on the BPS, which initiates a nucleophilic attack at the intronic 5' splice site, thus starting the first of two transesterification reactions that mediate splicing.
Source: RNAcentral